This 490-nucleotide ribosomal RNA is filed under the name uncultured bacterium. RNAcentral's name for it is "partial 16S ribosomal RNA". It matches the Rfam family "Bacterial small subunit ribosomal RNA", at positions 30 to 507 of the family's 1533-position model. The record is from RNAcentral.
AUUGAACGCUGGCGGCAGGCCUAACACAUGCAAGUCGAACGGUAACAGGAAGAAGCUUGCUUCUUUGCUGACGAGUGGCGGACGGGUGAGUAAUGUCUGGGAAACUGCCUGAUGGAGGGGGAUAACUACUGGAAACGGUAGCUAAUACCGCAUAACGUCGCAAGACCAAAGAUGGGGACCUUCGGGCCUCUUGCCAUCGGCUGUGCCCAGAUGGGAUUAGCUAGUAGGUGGGGUAACGGCUCACCUAGGCGACGAUCCCUAGCUGGUCUGAGAGGAUGACCAGCCACACUGGAACUGAGACACGGUCCAGACUCCUACGGGAGGCAGCAGUGGGGAAUAUUGCACAAUGGGCGCAAGCCUGAUGCAGCCAUGCCGCGUGUAUGAAGAAGGCCUUCGGGUUGUAAAGUACUUUCAGCGGGGAGGAAGGGAGUAAAGUUAAUACCUUCGCUCAUUGACGUUACCCGCAGAAGAAGCACCGGCUAACUCCGUG